GACGAACGCUGGCGGCGUGCUUAACACAUGCAAGUCGAGCGGAAAGGCCCUUUCGGGGGUACUCGAGCGGCGAACGGGUGAGUAACACGUGAGUAACCUGCCCUAGACUUUGGGGUAACCCUCGGAAACGGGGGCUAAUACCGGAUAUUUACUGCUGAUCGCAUGGUUGGUGGUGGAAAGUUUUUCGGUCUGGGAUGGGCUCGCGGCCUAUCAGCUUGUUGGUGGGGUGAUGGCCUACCAAGGCGACGACGGGUAGCCGGCCUGAGAGGGCGACCGGCCACACUGGGACUGAGACACGGCCCAGACUCCUACGGGAGGCAGCAGUGGGGAAUUUUGGACAAUGGGGGCAACCCUGAUCCAGCCAUGCCGCGU
RNAcentral lists this ribosomal RNA (372 nucleotides) under uncultured bacterium. RNAcentral describes it as "bacterial SSU rRNA". It matches the Rfam family "Bacterial small subunit ribosomal RNA", at positions 28 to 402 of the family's 1533-position model. The record is from RNAcentral.